AUGGUUGAGGGGUCUGCUCAGGACGUAGCUAACCUGAAGUUUCUCCUCCUGUGCUUCCAACAGAUGUCGGGUGUAAUGAUUAACUUCGAUAAGAGCGAAGUGAUGGUUCUUGGCUACCCCCCGGUGGAAGCUCAGGCUAUCACGGACUGACUUAAUUGUCGGUUGGGUUCUUUCCCCAUGACCUACCUGGGGAUCCCCAUUAGUGAUUCGCGCCCCACCGUGGCGGACCUUUGCCCCACGGUGACCCAUGUGCAACAUCACGUUGAGCCCUGGAAAGGGUGCUGGUUGUCGAAGGCUGCUCAUGUGAUCCUCAUCAACUCCUCGCUCACCAGCCUUCUCUGGUUCCUCAUGAGCUUCUAUAGCCUUCAUGAGACGCUCCAUAAGGAAAUUGCUAAGUACCAGUCUAGAUUCUUCUGGGCUAGCAAGGAUGACAAGCAAAAGUACCACAUGGUGAGCUGGCCGGACAUCUGCAAACCCAAGGACCAGGGUGGUCUUGGGAUUUUGUCCUCCCGGCGCAUGAACAUUGCCCUCCUAACCCGGUGGCUCUAG
This 549-nucleotide ribosomal RNA is filed under the name Triticum aestivum (bread wheat). RNAcentral's name for it is "partial small subunit ribosomal RNA". Lineage: Eukaryota; Viridiplantae; Streptophyta; Magnoliopsida; Poales; Poaceae. The record is from RNAcentral.